UACAGAGGUCCCGAGCGUUGUUCGGAUUCAUUGGGCGUAAAGGGUGCGUAGGCGGCGGGGUAAGUUUGAUGUGAAAUCCCGGGGCUCAACCCCGGAACUGCAUUGGAUACUGCCUUGCUCGAGUACUGGAGAGGGAACUGGAAUUUACGGUGUAGCAGUGAAAUGCGUAGAGAUCGUAAGGAAGGCCAGUGGCGAAGGCGAGUUCCUGGACGUCGGCUGACGCUGAGACGCGAAAGCCAGGGGAGCGAACGGG
RNAcentral lists this ribosomal RNA (253 nucleotides) under uncultured bacterium. RNAcentral describes it as "partial 16S ribosomal RNA". It matches the Rfam family "Bacterial small subunit ribosomal RNA", at positions 524 to 776 of the family's 1533-position model. The record is from RNAcentral.